CGGUAAAAUGGCUGAGUUUAAGCAAUAAAUUGUAAAUUUAUUUACGGAGUUUUCCUUUUACC
RNAcentral lists this transfer RNA (62 nucleotides) under Macratriinae sp. 2 ACP-2013. Its description in RNAcentral is "tRNA-Tyr". It matches the Rfam family "tRNA". From Rfam's summary of the family: Transfer RNA (tRNA) molecules are approximately 80 nucleotides in length. Their secondary structure includes four short double-helical elements and three loops (D, anti-codon, and T loops). Further hydrogen bonds mediate the characteristic L-shaped molecular structure. tRNAs have two regions of fundamental functional importance: the anti-codon, which is responsible for specific mRNA codon recognition, and the 3' end, to which the tRNAs corresponding amino acid is attached (by aminoacyl-tRNA synthetases). tRNAs cope with the degeneracy of the genetic code in two manners: having more than one tRNA (with a specific anti-codon) for a particular amino acid; and 'wobble' base-pairing, i.e. permitting non-standard base-pairing at the 3rd anti-codon position. The record is from RNAcentral. Lineage: Eukaryota; Metazoa; Arthropoda; Insecta; Coleoptera; Anthicidae.